Molecule: RNA transcript, 3281 nt
Organism: Camelus dromedarius (Arabian camel)
Lineage: Eukaryota; Metazoa; Chordata; Mammalia; Artiodactyla; Camelidae
Gene: GBGT1
Gene name: globoside alpha-1,3-N-acetylgalactosaminyltransferase 1 (FORS blood group)
Exons: 9
Source: RefSeq, a predicted model, not a curated record
GGCCCUGAGUCAGGCCCUACCCAGAGCGGUACUGGAAGCGCUGCGCGGCCGCCGGAUUUCGCCGGAACCCCGGCAAUCCCUGAUUUCCCGGCCGGGGUGCGCCGUUAGGAUCCGUCCUAAGGCUGGUCCGGCCUCAGUGGGGUGAAUCUGCAGCCCGCAGGGACAGUCGCGCUCCCUCCGCCGCACCUUGUCCUCGCCCCGCGCCCGGCCGGAGGAGGAGCAACGAGCAACGCGAGUCCCGGGCCCGCAGUGGUCGGCGGAAGUCCAGGCGUUUCCGGACCCUGGAGACACAGGCCUAGAGCCUGAGAGCCCUGAGAGAGGUGGGCUGAUUCACCAAGGCACACUCAGUCUCUGCAGGUUCCCAGGCUCAGAUGCUGCACCCCAAGAUGCACUGCCCCAGGCUAGCCCUGGGCCUGGGAUUCUGCCUGCUGGUGGGCAUGGCCCUCUACUGUCUGUGGGUGUAUGUGGAGAGCUCACUGCCGGUCUCGUACGUCCCCUAUUAUCUCCCCUGCCCAUCGAUCUUCAACAUGAAGCUGCAGUACAAGGGUGAGGAGCCGUCCCAGCCCGUGGCACAGUCACAGUACCCUCAGCCCAAGCUGCUGGAGCAGAAGCACACCAGGCUACUGACACUCACACCCUGGUUGGCGCCCAUCGUCUCUGAGGGAACCUUCGACCCUGAGCUUCUGCAUCACAUCUACCAGCCGCUGAACCUGACCAUCGGGCUCACAGUGUUUGCCGUGGGGAAGUACACCCAAUUCGUCCAGCACUUCCUGGAGUCGGCCGAACGCUUCUUCAUGCAGGGUUACCGAGUGCGCUACUAUGUCUUCACCGAUGACCCCAUGGCCCUUCCUCGGGUCCCGCUGGGCCCUGGCCGCCUCCUCAGCAUCGUCCCCAUCAAGAGGCACUCCCACUGGGAGGAGAUCUCCACACGCCGGAUGGAGACCAUCAGCCAGCACAUUGCAGAGAGUGCGCACCGGGAGGUGGACUACCUGUUCUGCGUCGAUGUGGACAUGGUAUUCCGGAACCCAUGGGGCCCGGAGACCUUAGGGGACCUGGUGGCUGCCAUUCACCCAGGCUACUUCACUGUACCCCGCCAGCAGUUCCCCUACGAGCGCAGGCAUGUUUCCACUGCCUUUGUGGCUGAUGGCGAAGGGGACUUCUAUUAUGGUGGGGCGGUCUUUGGGGGGCGGGUGGCCAGGGUGUACGAGUUUACCAGGGGCUGCCACAUGGGCAUCCUGGCGGACAAGGCCAAUGGCAUCAUGGCAGUCUGGCAGGAGGAGAGCCACCUGAACCGCCGCUUCAUCUCACACAAGCCCUCCAAAGUGCUGUCCCCCGAGUACCUCUGGGAUGACAGGAAGCCCCAGCCUCCCAGCCUGAAGCUGAUCCGCUUUUCUACACUGGACAAGGACACCAACUGGCUAAGAAGCUGACGGCAGAGUCCAGGCUGCUGUGGAUGGGGGGACCCCAAGCCCUGCACCCAGUUUGCCCCACCCCUAGGGAUUCAGUCAGCCAGAGUGGCCGAUACAGUCAGCUGGUGGAGGGGUACAGUCUUCCAGGAAACCUGGGCUGAAGCUGGCCCCUGCGACAGACAGAAUUUCACCCCGAGUCUCCUGGAAGACGGGUGAAGUGGAACCGUGCCACCAGACAAGCCGCAUUGGUUUGGCCAGCGAACAAGGACAGGCUACAGGUGUGUGGGCAGACUGACCAGUGUGAGGAGACAGCGCGGACUGGACAAGACGCAUCGGGGAGGUUAGGCAGUUAGGCCUGGGUGGACCACGGCCCAUGUGUUACCAGUGGGGAGCACCUUCCUAGGAUGUCUGUCCACACCCUGGGGAGGGAGGGGUUGUGAAGCCGGUUAGGUUGAAGGAACAGGCCCUGCCUUCGAGGAGUUUCCAUGUUGGAGCAGGGAGAGGGCCUGUGAUGUGGAGAAGGAGGUGGCCCUGAGACCUGGGCAGCAUCAGCCUUGCAGGAAGGGGUCCCUUCUUGCUCCCAGGCCACUCUGGGCCAUUCUCAGCCUUGGCCCGAGCCCUCAGGUACUAUGGCUACCCUGGUCCCCAUCCCAGGGCAUGGCCCUCAAACACAAGUUGAGUGAGUGACAGUGCCCAACUCCUGGAACCAAACUGGGGUACAGUCUACUUUCCAAAAAGAUGCUAAGGGCUUGGGGGCUGGAGCUCCUCCAUGGUUGGGAGGAAGUAAGGUGGGAUGGGUGGUGGGGGACAGGCCUGGCCCGGCAGAAGGAGGUGAGAAUGCCUGGAAAUAGAAAUAGACAAAAUUACAAUUACAGAAUGUCUGCAGUGGCCCCUGAAACGUAAGCCGCCUCUCCUUUCAUGGCCGGCUACCUCUUCUCCAUGCCCGACAACCCAACAUCAUUACCCUGUCGCAGGGCCUGGCCCAGCACACCUCUGCUCACACUGCCUACCAGUCAGGCCUCCCGGUCCAAUCACGUGGCCAGUUCCUGGAUACUUACUCCUGACUUCACCUCCUCCAGGAAGCCUACCUUGAUUUGUGUCCCCCUCCAGAGUGGGUACUUUUCAGUGUUCCCAUAAAUCCUCAUUCCUGUGUCAUCAUUUACAAUGUUCUAGUCAUCUCCACCCCUUCCCCCGGCUGGUAAACCCCAAGAGGGCACAGAUGGUGGCCUGCCAGGUUUAGCCCAGUCCCUGAAACCCCAGAGGGAUUCCAUGAGUGUUUGUUGAACGACUGUGUGAAUGUGAGGCAGCUGAGAACACAGGUUUGAGCAUGUCCUAGCACCUGUGGGAUGUUAGGCAGGUCACCUCCCUGAGGCCCUGGGGUGAGGAUGAAAUGGGAUUAUGGUGGGGACACCUGUGGGCACUGACUUCCAGGCAGGUACUUGGAGAAAUAGCUAGGUCUGGGCCUGCCAGGCAACAUGCCCAACCCUGGGAGGGGGAGGUGACCACCAGAGCCCACACUGUACACAGGAGGAAACAGGCAGACUGCAUCGCUGGCUGCAUCUCAGGGAUGCACGCUUGAAUGGCGUGAAUAAUGCACGCACUAAGCUCCUUCCAACUGAGAUGCUGUGGCUCUGAUUAAACCACCUGGAUCAUGUCCUCUGCUGCCCCCAACCUGCGGUGACCCCGUACUCCUUGCCCAACAUUCAGCGUCCUGUGUGGUCUGGAUGUCCUCCCAGUGUGCACCCCUCACCCCGACUCCACCUCCCCACAGCCUUCCUCCCUGCACUGACCCUUCCAAGCCCUUGCCCUGCUCAGGGCCCCCUGCCUGCAGUGCCCCUCCCCACAGCGCCCCAUCCAUGAUGAACUCACCUC